This 373-nucleotide ribosomal RNA is filed under the name uncultured bacterium. Its description in RNAcentral is "bacterial SSU rRNA". It matches the Rfam family "Bacterial small subunit ribosomal RNA", at positions 527 to 898 of the family's 1533-position model. The record is from RNAcentral.
GAAGGGUGCAAGCGUUACUCGGAAUUACUGGGCGUAAAGCGUGCGUAGGUGGUUCGUUAAGUCUGAUGUGAAAGCCCUGGGCUCAACCUGGGAAUGGCAUUGGAAACUGGCGACCUAGAGUGCGGUAGAGGGUAGUGGAAUUCCCGGUGUAGCAGUGAAAUGCGUAGAGAUCGGGAGGAACAUCUGUGGCGAAGGCGACUGCCUGGACCAGCACUGACACUGAGGCACGAAAGCGUGGGGAGCAAACAGGAUUAGAUACCCUGGUAGUCCACGCCCUAAACGAUGCGAACUGGAUGUUGGGUGCAACUAGGCACUCAGUAUCGAAGCUAACGCGUUAAGUUCGCCGCCUGGGGAGUACGGUCGCAAGACUGAA